Molecule: transfer RNA, 85 nt
Filed under: Rickettsiales bacterium
Lineage: Bacteria; Pseudomonadati; Pseudomonadota; Alphaproteobacteria; Rickettsiales
Description: tRNA-Leu
Rfam family: tRNA
About the family: Transfer RNA (tRNA) molecules are approximately 80 nucleotides in length. Their secondary structure includes four short double-helical elements and three loops (D, anti-codon, and T loops).
Source: RNAcentral
GGGGAUAUGGCGGAAUUGGUAGACGCGCCAGACUCAAAAUCUGGUGCCCUCGGGCGUUCCGGUUCGACUCCGGAUAUCCCUACCA